UUGGGUCAUUUAGAGGAAGUAAAAGUCGUAACAAGGUUUCCGUAGGUGAACCUGCGGAAGGAUCAUUAGAGAGAGCUCCGGCUCCUUUCAUGCCAUAACCAAACUGAUGUUCUCUUCUUUGUUGCUUCCACCCUCUGCGGCAGGCACGGUAAAAAAUGCUUGCUCAAAGGGGGUGGGGGGAUUUUUUCACAACCAUAUUUGUUAUUGAGCCCGAGUUUUUGUCUGAAUCAGAGGGAAAUUGCUUCAAAACUUUCAACAACGGAUCUCUUGGCUCCUGCAUCGAUGAAGAACGCAGCGAAAUGCGAUAACUAAUGUGAAUUGCAGAAUUCCGUGAAUCAUCGAGUCUUUGAACGCACAUUGCGCCCCAUGGUAUUCCGUGGGGCAUGCCCGUCUCAGCGUCAGUGAAACCCAUCAACUCCUUGCUUAUUGUGAGAGGUUGGAUAAAGUCAGGGAAGCCGUGGCCGUAAAAAGCCACGGCUCUUUGAAAAUUCAUGGAUGUUCAAGCCACCACGCAUGGAACGUGAUGAUGAUUCUUUCGUUCUAAAGCGGUUGGCUUGAGUCGUCACAAAACUCACAUGCCAUCGGCAUAUUACAGCAUUUGACCUGAGAUCGGGUAGGGAUACCCGCUGAACUUAAGCAUAUCAAUAAGC
This 650-nucleotide ribosomal RNA is filed under the name uncultured Pezizaceae. RNAcentral describes it as "eukaryotic LSU rRNA". The stretch from base 248 to 401 matches the Rfam family "5.8S ribosomal RNA". Lineage: Eukaryota; Fungi; Ascomycota; Pezizomycetes; Pezizales; Pezizaceae. The record is from RNAcentral.